This 81-nucleotide transfer RNA is filed under the name Leptosomus discolor (cuckoo roller). It matches the Rfam family "tRNA". Rfam says of the family: Transfer RNA (tRNA) molecules are approximately 80 nucleotides in length. Lineage: Eukaryota; Metazoa; Chordata; Aves; Leptosomiformes; Leptosomidae. The record is from Rfam by way of RNAcentral.
GACGAGGUGGCCGAGCGGUGAAGGCGGUGGACUGCUAAUCCGUUGUGCCCUGCACUUUGGGCUCGACUCUCACCCUCGCCG